Molecule: ribosomal RNA, 746 nt
Filed under: uncultured bacterium
Lineage: Bacteria
Description: bacterial SSU rRNA
Rfam family: Bacterial small subunit ribosomal RNA
Source: RNAcentral
AGUCGACGCGGGCACUUGUGCCCGAGUGGCGAACGGGUGAGUAAUACAUAAGUAACCUGGCCUUUACAGGGGGAUAACUGCUGGAAACGGCAGCUAAGACCGCAUAGGUAGGGACACUGCAUGGUGACCGUAUUAAAAGUGCUGCAAGGCACUGGUAGAGGAUGGACUUAUGGCGCAUUAGCUGGUUGGUGAGGUAACGGCUCACCAAGGCGACGAUGCGUAGCCGACCUGAGAGGGUGACCGGCCACACUGGGACUGAGACACGGCCCAGACUCCUACGGGAGGCAGCAGUAGGGAAUUUUCGGCAAUGGGGGGAACCCUGACCGAGCAACGCCGCGUGAAGGAAGAAGGAAUUCGUUCUGUAAACUUCUGUUAUAAAGGAAGAAAGACGGAUGGAGGAAAUGACAUCCGAGUGACGGUACUUUAUGAGAAAGCCACGGCCAACUACGUGCCAGCAGCCGCGGUAAUACGUAGGUGGCAAGCGUUAUCCGGAAUUAUUGGGCGUAAAGAGGGAGCAGGCGGCAGCAAAGGUCUGUGGUGAAAGACUGAAGCUUAACUUCAGUAAGCCAUAGAAACCGGGCAGCUAGAGUGCAGGAGAGGAUCGUGGAAUUCCAUGUGUAGCGGUGAAAUGCGUAGAUAUAUGGAGGAACACCAGUGGCGAAGGCGACGAUCUGGCCUGCAACUGACGCUCAGUCCCGAAAGCGUGNGGAGCAAAUAGGAUUAGANACCCUAGUAGUCCACGCCGU